Molecule: long non-coding RNA, 447 nt
Filed under: Elaeis guineensis (African oil palm)
Lineage: Eukaryota; Viridiplantae; Streptophyta; Magnoliopsida; Arecales; Arecaceae
Description: long non-coding RNA (EGUI_LNC024028)
Source: RNAcentral
UUCCUCCGAAAUUUAUCAAGAUAUCCCCGACGGAUGAGAGCUUCGAUCUCAUCCUUAAGCUGGAUGCAUUGCUCGGUAUUGUGGCCGUGGCUCCGGUGAAAUCGGUAGUACUUCCGUCGGUCGAGGCCCUUUGCCUUCAAAGGCGGAGGCCGUCGCAAGUACUCUUCCCCUUCGAUCUCCAUCAAAAUCUGCACACGAGGAGCAGAGAGAGGAGUGUAGGAGUCGUACCUGGGGUGUGUCGGCCUUGGGCUUCACCGUCGGGGCGACCUCUGGUUCCGUUGUGGGGGUGAGACCCGACUGUCGGUCGGGGGCCUGCUAAGCACGGCAGGGUUCCGACCCUUCCUUCUCUUCUCCUUCGGGCCCUUGGGCUCGGCCAGGUGCCGGUCGGAAGCUCCUUCAUCCGCACGCAUAUACUUGUAUGCGCGCUCCAGCAAUUCAACGUACGUU